This 107-nucleotide small nuclear RNA is filed under the name Catagonus wagneri (Chacoan peccary). The record is from RNAcentral. Lineage: Eukaryota; Metazoa; Chordata; Mammalia; Artiodactyla; Tayassuidae.
GUGCCCGCUUCGGCAGCACGUAUACUAAAAUUGGAACGAUACAGAAAAGAUUAGCGUGGCCCCUGUGCAAGGAUGACACGCAAAUUCGUGGAGCGUUCCAUAUUUUU